Cydia strobilella is the source of this 9581-nucleotide long non-coding RNA. RefSeq lists it as uncharacterized. The record is from RefSeq and is a predicted model, not a curated record. The transcript has 3 exons. Lineage: Eukaryota; Metazoa; Arthropoda; Insecta; Lepidoptera; Tortricidae.
CUCAAAUCCGGUGUAUUUGCGGUUCUUGGAUGAUUAUGUAUUUAAUAUCAUCGUUACUCGCCGAGCCGUGCAUGUAUUCGUUUUGUGCUGUAUACAGUAGUUUAGUUAAUUAAUACGAAGUUCGGUACACAAUGGACAAUGCCUCUCGUCAAGUCGUCAUCGUCACUGAGUGCGUCAGUCAAAUAUUAUCCACGUCGCAUUUGGCACCAGCUACUCGAAAGAACGCACGCUUCUUUGCCAGAAAAUAGUGUCAUGGAUCCAAUAUGUGCUUCUGUGAUGCAGUUGCUAGUUGGAAAGCUAAAUCGCAAAUACACUACAGAUAUGGAGAUGAACCAUGAAACUAAGAUUUGGACUGGCAACACUGAAUAUUGCUAAAAAUAGAAUGGCAUGACUUAAGCCUAUGAGAGCCAAUCAAAGGCGAGAAUUGUUUGUCAAUAACAACUGCUCAUUCACUGACUAGUUUGGGAGAAGCAGAAGCACCUUCUUUAAGACAUCCAUAUGCAGUCCAGUCCGUCCGCUCCGCAAACAUUAUCCGUAUGCUCAGCAAACAUUCAAGUAACUACUGAUGAAUAUUGUGGCGAUUUAGCUUGAGAAGGUCCCAAAAAGGAUGUUGAUUUUGUGGGCUGGGUGCAAGCACAGGAGCUACAUUGUUGAGUCUUAAUCCAUUCUGAUUGGAUAAAAAUAAAUAAAUUCAGCAACUGUUGAGCCAACACAAUUGGCAAAUAAUAUUAAUUGAAGCUUGUCAAAAUUCAAAAAUGAAAACAAAGAUUUCCAAAAAGUUGUCGGACAUUCAGACAAGUCCAUGCACAUAGUUGGUUGGGUUUCAAUUUUCUGUUCAGCAAUCUAGUUUUCUGCCAUGUUGCUUGUAAUGUUGGCGCUUCAUGCCCAAAAGGACAGUUUGGAAUACAAUAAAGGGUCAAAUAACAAAUAUUGCAAUAAAUUAAUAAAUCAAAAAUCCUUUAUUGAAAGCAUCUUCUUGAAAAAAUCUAUUUGAAAUUUUUUCUGUUUUUGCAUUGGGGAAUUUGGGAAUAGUGAUGGAAUGGUGAUAAAAUAACAGUGUUAAUCUGGUUUUGUUAAUAUUUAUUUUAAAUAGUGUUGCUUGGAAAAUACAAUUUUGUUUAAACUUUUUGUGUUCUUUGGCCAGUUGAAAAGCUAUUUUUCUGUUGGUGGUUUUUUUUGAUAAGUCGUUUGGCUCAAGUUUCAUGACAAAAAAUUUAAUGUUGAGCAGAUAAUAAAUUAUCACGAGCAGAAUCAUUAUUGUACAAAUAUUUGGUUAAAUUUCAAUUCCUGUUGUUUUCAGUUUGUGUAGAUUGCUUCAUGCAAAUAUUUUGUUCACAAACCUUCCUAAUUGAUAGAAUGUUAUAAUUAUAAAAUGAAUACUUAGAUAAUAUUCAUUAUAACUAAAAGGUUAUAGUGUCAAAAGUCGUUAACCUUAUAUGUCUACAGUUAUCAGUAUUUCGCAAAAAUUUUCUUCAUCUGUUAUUUAAACAAAUACUUUGGGUAUAGAAGCUGCGCCAAAUGCGUUGCACUUUUUGAAGAUACAGGUCUGAGUAGAUUAGAAAUAUUCCUUUGCCGGUGGCUUUUAUGACUUCCUCGUCGUUGACGUUGAUUGCUAGACAGCUGUAGUUAUUCUUAGCUUAGCUUAGUUAGCGUCCUUCCACCAGACAUGAUGAUAGAGUACGCUGUCCUCCUUCUUUCGACAUUGACCUCCUUCCGGAUACGCAUACCUUGAGCGUUUAAUUAGGAUUAAGGGAUUGUUUAGUUUUAGGAUUUGACCACGGGACAGGGUAUUCGAUCAUAACUACCCCUUGGCUAUCCCAGAAAAGAGAGCCCAUGACCUUACCGGCGGAUGGGAUGGGAUUGCCUUAAAUUUCUUCGGAGUCGGAGAUGACGGCCUCUUGGUCAUGGACUGUUGUUUAGUUUCUGGGUCGUAAUGAUGAAGCCACGUUUCGUCCAUAGUUAUAAAACGAGCCAAAAAUUGCUUAGGAUCUUUUUGUAACAAGUACAAACAGCUUUGUAAAACAGGCUUUGGUGACAGUCAUCAUCAUCAUAUAUUUAAUAGUAAGACUUGUCGGUGGAGCAAUUUCCAUGUUUGACAGUAUCUUUUGUAUAAGUAAUGGCUUAUUUGCCAACAUGGGUGCAAUGGGUCACCAUAGAUUAGAUUAGAUUAUUUAUUUCAUAAAAGACAAUUACAGAAAGAUAUAAGAAUUUCUAUCAUGAUCGACGUCAAAAUAAAUUAAAAAUGAAUAUAAUAACAAUACUAAUGAAAUGAAAUUAUAGCACCAAUAAGAAUUGUCGACAUAUAAAAUAUACUAGCCGUAAUUCGGCACGAUCGCAUCUCGUGCCACUCCAGAGAAGCAUCUUAACCUCUAGUUUUUUGUUCCACCUUCUAUCUGGUCUUCACUGACAUCUUUAAGAAGUAAAUAAUAAUUUAAUAAUUUUUCCUGCGCAGUGUCUUGAACGUAUGUAUGAUCCCAAUCUAUCCCAUGAGGAUUUGCCGGUUCAUAUGUUUGUAACAAAGGCAUAGAUGUAUCUCCGUAACUUAUCACCAAGUUCCUAACAUAGUCUUUAUAGUUAUUCUUGAUAUUUUCCUCUUUGAGAGGCUCAAAGUUGCAGAGUUUUCUCCUUUUACUAGGUAAAUAUUGCGCAGUGUAAAUAAGAAGAUGUUUUUAUGAUAAAGAUUCUUUAUUCAUCAACUCUGUGUCCUUACAUGUAGUUAUCUUUGUUGUCUGUCCCUACUGCCCUACUGUCUUAUAUAUUAGUCUCGUACAUUACAUCCCCUUUCUUUUCAAGCAACCACAACAUGAAAUGUCUACUAGCAAGUAUCGACUUAUUACAAUAAAAUUGGCUGAAUAUACAACACACAUAUAAAGCAUAAGCUGCAUAAGCUAUCAAUUUAAUCAGUUUGAUAAUCACAGAGAUAGCUAGGCUUCUUGAUCAGUCGACCUGCUCUAGUUCUUAUAGCAGAAUUGUUAUUUUCAUUAGCAAUACUUUGAGUACUUUGAUCAUUCUCAUUUUCUUCUGUGUAGUUCUGAACAUCAAAAAUAUUCUUACUUUAUUGUGAAACAUAGCUAUCAUCUGUCAUUUUAAUAACAAAACUUCUGUGAGACACAGCUAUAUUAAACAUAUUAAUAACGGGUCACUCACGUAUUUUAAGUCGAAAACGCUCGACAUGUUUCACUCCACGCAAGCUCCUGAUGACGCUCCUCCUUACCUACCUACUCCUUUCACCUCGAAAGUCGCAACUCAAGUAAUCAAAACUGUUGUGUUGUCUAUGGUCGGCCGUCGUACUAGAAUCUAUGCAUGAUAAAAAAUAAAGAUUGUCUUUGAUCUGAACUUGAAAUGGUUUUUGCUAUGUUGACUGCUUCACUGACGUCCUGAAGCUCUUCCGUUUGUAGUAAUUUUUCCUUUAUAACUUGGUUUUUCAAACCUAUAAUUAACAUGUCUUUUACUAGCGAGUCUGAUAGUUCCGAAGUCACAUGAGGCAGCUAAAUUGUUUAUUGACGUCACAUACUCAUCUAGUGACUCCUCCUCCGUUUGAAAGCGACUCAACAAAUUGUACCUCUCAACUGUUGUGUUUUUGCAGGCGUUGAAUUUGCUGUGGAAUUUCUUUAUCACUGACUCUAACGUUUCUUCCGACCUCUGUACGUUGAAUGAGUCGUAAAUUUCUAAUCCUUCGUCACCGAUGGCAUUUAACAAAAUUGCGACUUUCUAUUUCUCUGGUAGUUUUUCCAAGUCAUUUGCGUCGCUGAAGAUUUCAAAUUUCUGUUUCCAUCUCCGCCACUUUUCCGAAUUUGCACACUCAUUAGGACCUGCGCCAUUUUUCUGAACGCUAACCUGUAACGGCUUUAGGCUGUUCGCUAGGAUAACGUUUUGUGAUUUUUCCGUUCCGUUGGCCAUGUUCUUUCUUCUUUUGCUUCGUUUUCACUUCUGACACCAUGUAUCGUCUUCAGUAUUGGGGAUAUUGGGCUUUAAUUAUUUAAAUAGGAUUUCGGGAGCGGAGCACAAAUCACAUCAUUUCAAGUUCAGAUCAAAGACAAUCUUUAUUUUUUUAUUUUGCAUAGAUUCUAGUACGACGGCCGACCAUAGACAGCACAAUAAAAACAAUUCUCAGUGCCGUGUCGGCCGGCACCUAGACCACGUGGCAAGCAAAGUCAAAUGGCUAACCGAACGAAACAAAAAUACGAUCUACUUACCUUCGCGUGAAAAUGAGAAAGCACAAGGCGGCAUCUCUGUGUCGGCAUCUACAAUGGAAAACGGCGGCGCACGCCUUACUAUUUUAGGCGCGCGGCUCAGAACAGGUUAAGCUGAAGACGCGGGUUCGAUUCCCGCUUCGGCCACCGGUGGACUUGGUCUCUUUUUCUUUGGUGUAUGUUAUCUAUUUCAGUUUAUAAUCAUUCGUGGCCCUCAAAAUGGUCUCGCCGGAAGAUCAGCGCUGACUUUUGGGUUACCAUUAUGCUGAGGCGGGACCAUUUCGUUGUAAAUUAUUUAUUUUUAUAUUUAUAUUUCUUUGUUGUUUUUAUACUUUUGUAUGUUAUAGUUUAUCACGAAUUAAUGCGAUGAUUUCUGAUUUCUAAACAUGUCCUAAUGCCUCUCUGUUUCGUCCAUUACUUCUUUAUGCUUCGUUACAUCCAUUUGGUUAUUUAUAGCUCUAUCGAUUUCAUUCUCUGAUGAAGUCUGAGGUUCUCUCAUUUUUAUUGACAAUGCUUCAUCUAGAUUAUCACUAACCAUACGGUGAGUUAACGAUUGUUUGAUACACGAUUGAUCUUUCGUGAGGUCCUAAGGUCCUCAGAUAACAGAGACUCUUCUGCCUCUAGGGGAUGUAAAUGUGCAUAUUAUUUGAAUGGGACCUUGUGAAUAUUGCAUCACCUACUUUCACUUUUGGCUCUGUUAUACUACUUAUUUUCAAAUUUUCCCUAUUUUUACUUUCUCUUUUGAUCUGUACUAUAUCACCAAUGCAUGGCGCAAUUUUUGCUUUUACUCUAGCUUGUUUCGGUGAAUGAUUAUAUCGUUCUCUUAAACUUGAGAGACCUGCACACCGGAUGGGUCGGCAGAUCUUGCAACUUACAUGAGGAGUUGCUACAGGGCGCGUGGGUCGCUCUCCACAAAUCAAACCACGGACUUUCUUCAUACAAUCUUUUAUUAAAAAGAGUCGGAGAAAAAUACUUUUAAUUUUAACAUCACAGCUGACACAUAUUGGUUAAUUACUUAAUUAAAGGACAGAUCAAGGUAGCGUUACAUGGCAAAUCGAUUGGAGGCCAUGACGGAAGAGAGAAGGUGUCAAAAACCAUAGACUUAUAUACCAUUCUAUAAACAUAGACAAUUAGAUUAAGUUCAUGUAGAGAUGGUGUAAGGAGAUUAUAUAUUCUAACAAAACUCAGUAGGUAUUGAUUCAAGAACAUGUCCUUAUAUUAAUUCAUAAUCAUUUCACCUCUUUUCCAACCUUCUAACAGUGUUGCUUAGUAGAGGUACUUGAAGAAUUGUCAAUAUUAAUACAUAUUCCAGGUGUCAGAAAAUCAGCUGGUUUUAGAAUAUGUCCUUGAUCAUUUCCUACAUAAGUCAGCCUAUUUCCUAUGGCGUGUACUUCUUUGAUUAUUGUAAACAGCUGAUUGUCUCCUAGUAAAUGUUUUUCUAGGGUUCGCUUAAGACAAUGUUUCACUAUCGCUACUAAACGUUCAUAUACCCCCUCAUGCCAGGGUGCCAGCUGAGGAAUAAAUUUCCAUUGUAUUCCUUUGGAUGAUGAGUUAAUUCUGGUCACUACUUCCGACAGUAGUUUAAAUUGAAGUACAUUAUCAGACAAUAUUAUUGAAGGGGUUCCUCAAGCGGCAACAAAUCUUCGAAACGCCAGAGAACAUUGAUCCGUAGAUAUAUCUUUUACUAUCUCAAGGUGAAUGGCACGUAUCACUAAACAAGUGAAUAAGCAGACCCAACGUUUUUCUUGACUUUUAUCUGAUUUGACUACCAUAGGUCCGAAGUAAUCCAUUCCGACAUAAGUAAAAGGUGUCUCAUACUUCACUCUCUCUGGAGGUAAAGCAGGUGUGUUGGGUAAAGUGUAAGCUCCACCUCUGUGUUUUACACAUUGUUGACAUUUAUUUAUGAUUUUCUGAACUUGUGCUACCUUGUGGAAUCCAAAACCGUUGUCUCACUUUACUUAACGUAUGUGGUACUCUCACGUGAUAAUUUUCUUCAUGUAAUUCUUUUUAUGACAUAAUUGGUAAAUUCACAAUUUUUAGGUAAUAAGAUUGGAUGUUUUGUCUCAUAUAUAUGACAUGUCUGAAUGUGUUAGAAUGCGCUUCCUCUAACGAUUAGACAAGCCCCAAACAAGCUGACUUUCAAACGAAUGCUCCACAAGCACCUGCUAAUAGAUACUGUCUAGUGGGACCUCCCUUUCCGCACACAUGCAAAAAUAUAUUUAUGUAGGUACGAGGGGCACACCGAAGUGAUCGGAAAUAGAUAAAACUAUUUGUGGGAUGUAUAUAAAUUAUGAUUUAUUGUUUUUCGAAGUAUGCUCCCUUGCAAUCAAUGCAUUUUUUCGAACCAGUCAGUAUAGCAGUAAUUCCAGUCUGAACUGGAUAUUGACAAAAUGGCCGUUUUGUAGGCUUCCACGGCGGCUUCUGGGUCUUCAAACCGCUGACCACGCAAAAAAUCUUUAUUUCUUGGGAAUGUAAAAAAAUCAUUUGGACAGGUCAGGGCUGUACGGAGGGUGGGUCAUCAACUCGACGUUUUCCUGUUUCAAAAAUUCUUUUGUUUUACGGGCGGUGUGGGACCUCGCAUUAUCGUGAUGUAAGAUGACGCGACGGGUCGGACUGCCUCUGCGAAGUUCGGCUAUCAUCUCGGGCAAACAAACGGAGGUGUACCAAUAAGCGGUUAUUGUUCAUUGUUCUUGUAAGGGAAUCGUAGCCACACGCCAUUUUUUGGCACAAGAAGCGACCAUUUUCUUAGACACACUACGAGAACGCACGACUUUUCUCGGCUUGUCCUCAUUUUCGAAGACCCAAACUGCCGACUGAUGCUUUCUUUCAGGCUCGUACGAAUAAUUCCAAUAUUCAUCACCUGAGACGAUAUUAUAAACGGCUUUUGACUUGCCUCUGUUGAAGCGUUUCUGAUUAGAGCGGCACCAAUCAACACGAGCCGCCUUUUGCUCUUCUGUCAAAUUUGGGGUACCCAACGGUAAACUAGUUUCCUGACACACAACUCACUAUGCAAAAUAGCGUGAAUUGCAGUCAUACCAAUACCCAUGGUUGCUCGGAUCUGCUCAUAUGGCACAUGUCGGUCUUCUUUAAUUAUUUUUUUCCACAGCCGCGAUGUUUUCAGGUGUCACCGCUGUUUUUGGUCGACCUGUAGAAGGUACAGUACUGAGAGAGGCACUACCACGUCGAAACUCCGCAUACAACCAUUGUCGUUUGACUAGGUGCUUGAAUAUCAUAUAAGGAAACAAGCUCCUUGAGAUAAUCCUCUACGAAAGUUGUGAUAAAUUAUGACACAACAAUUUUCACGCGUGAGCUCCAUUUUAUUUAUCGACAUUCUAAUUUAAAAACGCUGUGAUAACUGUUUUUUUUUUUUCUUAAAUUGUACAAAUGGCAUAAUGAUUGUAAGAGACAGUAUGCAGGUAACAAAAAAGGUUUUAUCCCAUCAAAGCCUAAACUACUUCAUUUCCGAUCAUUUCGGUGUGCCCCUCGUAUUCAUAGCUCUUGUGUAUUUUUCCAUAUCCUAGAAUCUUUCUAUAAUUUUAUUUGUCAUUUCCAAAAAGGAAUGUAGUAGUUUGGGGUUUUUCCAAGGUGUCCUUAAGUGUUUUGUUUAAGCCGGGUAGAAUUACUGCCUUUCUAGUUUCCGUUUCUAGAAAAUGGAGAUCUGCUAGUAAUCUUAUAGAGUCCCCCAGCGGCGACACACAGUCUUUCUCAUUUUUAUUAAGUAGGUCCUUUAAUAUCUUAUUUAAAUUAGCGAUAACCAAUCUAAUCUGAUUUUGUUUUUCACGUAAUUUCUCAUCCCUAGUUUUAGCAUUUUUAUUUAAGGUUAUUUCAAUUUCUUCGUUUAGUUUUGGUGCUUGUACUAAACAGUUUUCUAUCGAGGGAAUUUUUUCUUCCAAUUUCUUUUUGCCUUCUUUAUCCAAUCCUUUCUGAAUGAUACUUUGCCAUAGUUCCGCUAAUUUUGGGUUAAUGGAAAUUACAUUCUUUUUCAUAUCUGGCUUUCCGAUUAACUGCAAGAUGUUCUCUUUAUCUUCACCUGCCUAUAAUGCCUAUUCAUCUAAUGUAUUGUCGAGUUAGAGUAUAAUCACAUGAAAUUAUUACUAACAACACUAUUAGCACGUAAGGUUUAUCUGUAAGUGCUGAUAUGUAUAAUAAUAAACAAAUAAACAAAAAAAAAACUUUUUGAGCAUUAAAAAAUGUCUUAUGGCAUUACGUCCGCCACGUUUUGGCGUUUUCAAGCUUUAGGAGCUAGGUUGAGUCAUAUCUAUGUCUACGUUAGUGUUUUAAAUAAUUAUUGCUUGUUCUCUGUUUGAAAUAAUAGGUUUUGUGAGUGUAGGUGUUUGAGCUGCCAGUGAUAACUAAUCUGCAUAUCCAAAUUGUGACUGUGUGGGGACAAAUCCAGUAACAUUUGUUUCUUCUUGCAACCUUUGUUUGAUACCAUACAAUAUUACUUUAUUAUUAUUAAUUAAUGAUUCUGCGUACAACCUUUGGUCUUCGUGCAACUUAUAUGCUACAUUCAACCCUGUGUCAUUAUAUUCAUCAUCUUCUUUUAGGGCUUUGUAAGCUUCAUUAAUUAAUGUUCGUUUCUUUAUGAACGAGAGUGAAGGCAUUGUUUGACGUAUUUGGGUCGACGAAUGUGAUGGCAGCGCAGCGGCGAGUACGUGACCACAGCGAUGAUGACUAUUCUUUUGCUUCACAUGAAAAGCUGUAGAGUUCUCUUCGUUGCGCCUGUGCUCCUCCUCCUGAAGCAGCGUGCGGACCACUUCACUCGUUAAUUGGUUUGUUAAGCAGGCAGCACGCAAGCAGUCUCCAAGCCAGAGAUAAGCUAGAUUAUCGAACUCCUGGGGCAGGCCGGAAAGUAGUAUAUCUUGGCUACUUCAUCAUCUUCGAUCGUUUUUGCUAUGUCUGCCAGUUGUUGUCAUUACCUGAGUAGAAGUACCUUUCUGUAUAGUCCCCUUGGUUCAAAUGUGUCCGCUUGCUUCUGCCACGCUUCCUUUGCAGUCUUUGCAUCACGGACAUAUUGGUACAGAUUUAGUUUUAUGGCAAGGCAUAUACGAGCCAAGGCACGGCUUUCACUGGUCGCAUCAACAUUGGUGCCUUCGAUGCAGGUCCAUAAGCCAUCCAGGGUCAGCAACAUUUGCAUAGGAAACUUCCAAUUAACGUAAGAAUUUAUAUCAUCAAGCUUCUUGACGGGGAUAUCUGUGUUCUUUGUAGACAUCUUUUAAGGUCUAUUGGCUGAAUUUGGAUAGAGAUUUAAAAGAUUGCACGAGGAGAGGGGACGAGUGCAAAUCUGUCGAAUCUUCCUUCUUGGUGUGUAUUUUGCAGUUUCAAUCAUACGGCGUUAGCACUGGGCUCUAGUAACCUAUUGGCAGAUUAAGUGAGCUGUGGUACGCG